GAUGAACGCUGACAGAAUGCUUAACACAUGCAAGUCGAUGGGGAAGUGGUGCUUGCACCAUGGUAACCAUGGCGGACGGGUGAGUAACGCGUAAGGAACUUGCCUGCGGGACUGGGAUAACAGCAGGAAACUGCUGAUAAUACCGGAUAAGGUCAUUAAGCUGCAUAGCUUAGUGAUGAAAGGAGACGCCUGCGGAGAGCCUUGCGUCCUAUUAGCUAGUUGGAGGGGUAACGGCCCACCAAGGCGAAGAUAGGUAGCCGGCCUGAGAGGGUGGACGGCCACAAGGGGACUGAGGUACGGCCCUUACUCCUACGGGAGGCAGCAGUGGGGAAUAUUGGACAAUGGGGGCAACCCUGAUCCAGCAAUUCUGUGUGCACGAAGACGGUUUUCGGAUUGUAAAGUGCUUUCAGCAGGGAAGAAGGAAGUGACGGUACCUGCAGAAGAAGCGACGGCUAAAUACGUG
Molecule: ribosomal RNA, 463 nt
Filed under: uncultured bacterium
Lineage: Bacteria
Description: partial 16S ribosomal RNA
Rfam family: Bacterial small subunit ribosomal RNA
Source: RNAcentral